UUUCCGUAGGCGAACCUGCGGAAGGAUCAUUACAGAGUUCAUGCCCUCACGGGUAGAUCUCCCACCCUUGAAUAUUUAUACCUUAGUUGCUUUGGCAGGCCGUGGAAACACCAUGGGCUCCGGCUUAUGCGUGCCUGCCAGAGGAAACAAACUCUGUUUUCAGUGAUGUCUGAGUACUAUAUAAUAGUUAAAACUUUCAACAACGGAUCUCUUGGUUCUG
RNAcentral lists this unclassified non-coding RNA (220 nucleotides) under plant metagenome. RNAcentral's name for it is "partial contains small subunit ribosomal RNA, internal transcribed spacer 1, and 5.8S ribosomal RNA". The record is from RNAcentral.